Molecule: ribosomal RNA, 253 nt
Filed under: uncultured bacterium
Lineage: Bacteria
Description: partial 16S ribosomal RNA
Rfam family: Bacterial small subunit ribosomal RNA
Source: RNAcentral
UACGAAGGGGGCUAGCGUUGCUCGGAAUUACUGGGCGUAAAGGGAGCGUAGGCGGCCAGUUUAGUCAGAGGUGAAAGCCCAGGGCUCAACCCUGGAAUUGCCUUUGAUACUGAUUGUCUUGAGUGCGGGAGAGGUGUGUGGAACUCCGAGUGUAGAGGUGAAAUUCGUAGAUAUUCGGAAGAACACCAGUGGCGAAGGCGACACACUGGCCCGUUACUGACGCUGAGGCUCGAAAGCGUGGGGAGCAAACAGG